CAUGCAGUCGAACGGCAGCACGGGAGCAAUCCUGGUGGCGAGUGGCGAACGGGUGAGUAAUACAUCGGAACGUGCCCAGUAGUGGGGGAUAGCCCGGCGAAAGCCGGAUUAAUACCGCAUACGACCUACGGGUGAAAGCGGGGGAUCGCAAGACCUCGCGUUAUUGGAGCGGCCGAUGUCAGAUUAGGUUGUUGGUGGGGUAAAGGCCCACCAAGCCGACGAUCUGUAGCUGGUCUGAGAGGACGACCAGCCACACUGGGACUGAGACACGGCCCAGACUCCUACGGGAGGCAGCAGUGGGGAAUUUUGGACAAUGGGCGCAAGCCUGAUCCAGCCAUGCCGCGUGUGGGAAGAAGGCCUUCGGGUUGUAAACCACUUUUGUCAGGGAAGAAACGGUUUGGCCUAAUACGCUGAGCUAAUGACGGUACCUGAAGAAUAAGCACCGGCUAACUACGUGCCAGCAGCCGCGGUAAUACGUAGGGUGCAAGCGUUAAUCGGAAUUACUGGGCGUAAAGCGUGCGCAGGCGGCUUUGCAAGACAGAUGUGAAAUCCCCGGGCUCAACCUGGGAACUGCAUUUGUGACUGCAUGGCUAGAGUGCGGCAGAGGGGGAUGGAAUUCCGCGUGUAGCAGUGAAAUGCGUAGAUAUGCGGAGGAACACCGAUGGCGAAGGCAAUCCCCUGGGCCUGCACUGACGCUCAU
RNAcentral lists this ribosomal RNA (700 nucleotides) under uncultured bacterium. RNAcentral describes it as "bacterial SSU rRNA". It matches the Rfam family "Bacterial small subunit ribosomal RNA", at positions 54 to 750 of the family's 1533-position model. The record is from RNAcentral.